This 373-nucleotide ribosomal RNA is filed under the name uncultured organism. RNAcentral's name for it is "partial 16S ribosomal RNA". It matches the Rfam family "Bacterial small subunit ribosomal RNA", at positions 527 to 896 of the family's 1533-position model. The record is from RNAcentral.
GUAGGUGGCAAGCGUUGUCCGGAAUUAUUGGGCGUAAAGCGCGCGCAGGCGGUUCGUUUAAGUCUGAUGUGAAAGCCCACGGGCUCAACCGUGGAGGGUCAUUGGAAACUGGAGAACUUGAGUACAGAAGAGGAAAGCGGAAUUCCACGUGUAGCGGUGAAAUGCGUAGAGAUGUGGAGGAACACCAGUGGCGAAGGCGGCUUUCUGGUCUGUAACUGACGCUGAGGCGCGAAAGCGUGGGGAGCAAACAGGAUUAGAUACCCUGGUAGUCCACGCCGUAAACGAUGAGUGCUAAGUGUUAGGGGGUUUCCGCCCCUUAGUGCUGCAGCUAACGCAUUAAGCACUCCGCCUGGGGAGCACGGCCGCAAGGCUG